CUGUUUUGAAUAAUGUUGUACGUGGACGAGGCCAAUAAACCAGAACAUUUUCUUCUGAUUAUUACCUCAUCCUGCUGGCCUGCCAAACACAGCUAGCAGGCAAGUGUUCGAUGUAAGUAACUAGAGGAAGACUGUUCUGUAUAAUUGGGCGUAGGGAUCAUCUGGGAGACAAGGGAAAUCAGAAGGACUAGGGUGCAAUGGCAAUGCAGUAAAGUGGAAUAUUCUAAAAUCUUGCUUUUCCAAUUCAACAUUGCUUUCUGAGCUAAAGACAAUGGUCAGUGCUACCUUCAGUAUUCUAGGUACAUAAUGUUUCACCUUAAAAUGCAUUUUAAUUUUAAUAAGUGGUAAGCAAUCCACAGAAAAGAAAUAUAAAUGCAAACUUUACGAUAAAAAUCACAUUCUAACUGAAAACUGUGAAUAUCAAUGGAGUCUAUGAAAGUAUUUAUGAACUGCAAAGAUAAACUGUAAUCCUCUAGAAUAUUUUACUGAAACUUAUUUCUCUGCGGGAAGGGAGACUUCGGAACAAUUCAGUAGCAAUAAUUAUUGGCAUGAGUAACUCCAUGCGUUUUUCAGUCACCUAGAAGAUCGUGACUGAACAAUAUACAUCAAAUAGCCGCAUAUGGCAAAAAGGUCCUAAGUUAGAAGAGGAAAAUACCAGGAAAAAAAAAAAAAGAAAUCUAUAAGAUGUAAUCAGUUAUACACCAAAGUUUUAAGCAAACACCAGAAACACUAUUUCAAUGUGUUUAUUCAAAGAUAUUGUGCUUUAAAAUGAAUUUUCAAUGUAAGUAUGAGUUUUCAUGCAUUAAUUAUUAAGAUAGUGAUGGAUUAAUUUAAAGUGUUUGAAAUACUAAAAUGAAUCAAGCAAUUAUAUCAAUAUCCUUCAUUAAAGAAAGAUUCCCGAACUGAACUGUAGAACAUUUAAGUAAGCUAAUCACAGUCUACUGAUGAGUCACAGGGGUUUUUCUGGUCCCUUCAUCUUAGUCCUAAGUGGAACUAUUGUUAGAGCUAAAACUAUAAGUCUGCUUUCAUACAAAUCAUAUGCAGACCACAGAUUUUAUUUUGACUUUAGACCCAGGUAUUUGGCGGGAAAUUACUGCAGUGGUUUUUCUGGUUAACACAUUUACUAAUGUUUCCUUAAUUUUUCCACCCCAACGGGCAAUAAUUAAGGUGGAAUUUGCCUCACAUGAAGUUUUAUUAUUUUAAUUAUUAAAAUAUUUUCCAACACUACUGAGAAGCAAAAAGCAAUUCUUGUUGUUUUAAAAAGUAAGUAGACAUUUUCCUCAGUUCUUACAGCUUUUCCUCAGUGAAUGGUAUUAUAGCGAGAGCAGUGGGGCAGAAUUUCUGGUGUAGGUCUUUGAGCAUGAUACUACUUAAUGGUAGAUUUACUUAAGGGAAAAAUUUCAUUCACUCUUAAAAUUGGCUUUGAGAAUAAUCCUAAUAUAACCUUAAAAAAAUACACAUGGUACAGAAUGUAUCUUACAUAAAUACCCAUUCCUGAGUGGAAUAAUUUCAUUGCAGAUUCUCUGGACUGCGAAAUGCCUUUAAAAGUCUUUCUCAUCUCCUAUUCUCAUAAGAGGUCUCAUUCUAGAUGAGAUAUAUACUAAUCUUUUGAGAUAAAUGAAAUACUGCAAAUGAAUGUUAUAUAUUUAAGUAUACAGAUGAACAGUAAAUUUAGAUAAUGUUACCUUAUGAAAAUCUGAAACCAAAUACUGGUAAUAUUUACAUGAUGAAAGCAAGUGGUAUAUUUGAUUGUAAAAUAAGACCAUUUCCCAAGUCAUAUUUAAAGCAGUAUAAUGCCUUCUCAUACUGUCUUAUUUUCUCUUAGUUUCAAAAUUACCAUAGAAGCUGAGGGAUUCUCCUGUGGUGGUGUAUUUAGUUUGUGGCUAUCCAGACUUAUAGCUUAUUCUCUCUCUUAGUUGGUACAUUAGCCCUUCUACCAAAGAAGCAGGGAAGGAAUGGGACAUAUUUCUAAAUUUCAUAUCAACUUGCACAUUUAAGAAGAGUGCUUAUACCUUUUCCUGUUUUCUAAUGUUUAAAUUAAUUCCCAAUAGGAGAAAAAGUCGACUUUAUGAACAUUUGGAAUUUUACAUGUCUCUAAGCAACUGAAGUUAGGAAGACCCUACCUUGCUAUGGAUUAUGAGUGACUGCGAAUUUUGCUACUUGCAAUUUUGACUUAACAUAUUUUCAGGUCCUUGGGUGGAAUGUAUUCUUUAUAUGAUUCACAUGAGCUGAUAACUUCGACCAGAAAACAGGAGUGGGCAUUUCCUAGUGUUUAUGGGAAUAGUUAAAAAAUAAUUCAAGAAAUUAGAGUAUUUGCUAUUUGUGGUUUUGCCUAUUGUGCGGUUGUGAUGCCUGAAAAGCAGCCACAGGGCAAAAAGUGCCAUGAGGAGACUGCCCAAAUACCUAGUGGCUUUAGACUUUUUGCCUUGUGUAGGAAUUCUUUCUUGGUCAGAGUUGACAUGGGAUCUAAACUUGAUGUAAAUACUUAAUGUGGCAUCAAUGCACAUGUAAAUUCUAUCAAAUCUAGUGCCUUUCAACACUGCCCUCCCAUCCCCCACAUUUAAGAUAUUGGCUACACCAAAAGUGUAAUAGUCUUUUGGCAACAGCAUUUGGUAAGCCAGAUGGAUUUAAUUUGGCAACUUAAGGGUGUAAAUAUAUGUUUAGAUUCAGGGGUUCCCCCAGACAACACUUACAAUACAUUGGCAAUGGUAAGCUAAAGGAUUUCAAUGUCGAGUGUUUUAAAAUUCUACCUUUGAGCAGCAAUAAAGUUAUGACAGGCAAGCAAAAGCCAUCAAACUCUCAGCUAAAUCCUCAAUGUUUUUCUUACAUUGCUGGAGGUAGGCAUUUAAGGCACAUUUCUGAGUGAAAGAUGCAGCAUUUACAUUUUCAUUUUUAAUUUCCUGGCUCUUAUUGGCUAAAGCAACUCUAGUAAACGUUAUUUAAAUUUUGCUUCUAGGCCUGGUGCAGGGGCUCAUGGCUGUAAUCCCAGCACUCUGGGAGGCUGCGGUGGGUGGAUCACCUGAGGUCAGGAGUUCGAGACCAACCUGGGCAACAUGGAUGUUUGGAAGAGUGAGAUAAGGGACACAUUGAAAACAGAGAGGCAAUCUGAAGGCUACCUUCACACAUCUGCAAAGCUCCCGGAUUCUGACUUUUACAAGACUUGCAUUCUGUUUCUGGGCCUCGCCUAAACAGACUGCCAGUCAUCCGAACCGUGGCAGGAUGGAGAUGUUUGUGUAAAGUAGACUCAAGUUUGCAAGACUCAAGAAGGAAACCACCAAACUAAUUUUACUUUCACUUAAACCAGAUUGAAACCAAGACUUGAAGAAUUAAAAACCUUGACAUUAACCAUUGAUUCACCCCAUGAAAUAAUUGUGUUAUAGCCAGAAUCAUGGUUAAAUUGGAACAAGGCUUUUGAUGGGAUUUUUAAUUGAGGGACUUACAUUAAAUUGGACAUUUUCUUUAAUGAACAGCAUGUGGCAAAAAUUCUGUUUUCAUUAAAGUAUAUUAAGGAUCAUGACAACUCAUAUUAAACCUGCAACAAAUGAUUAAUGACAUUUAGAGACUUCAAAACAAAUGACACCCCUUAAAUAUUAAGAAUCAAAAAGAACACCUCAAAGUUGUUUCUAUUCUUAGUAAUUAUGCUUAAAAAAAUCUUUCCUUGCUUUGAAAGCCAGUUGCUAAAAAUAAAAACUGUUCCCUGAAAAAUCACAAUGCCCAAUGAUAAAUUUAUGUAUUUGUUUUUUAAAGGGGGAGGAUGGUGAGAAAAAUAGAAAGCUCCUGGCUGACAUCAGAAGUCACAAGAUGAGUUCCUCAUUUGUCCAAAUGACAUUCAGCUGCUAAAAGAAGUCAGACUUUUAGAGGGCUGUUGAGGAGAGAGUAAGUCAGGAGGUUUUCAGUACAUGACUGCAGGGGAAUCAGACACAGGCUAGUCACUUAAGUUCCUUAAUUGUCCGUGUACCCUUAGCCCACGGCUUCAGGGCUCAGCAGCUUCAUCCUUCAUGGCACCAAACCUUGAUGUAAGGGAUUCAAAGACACACUCAUAAGAAUCGUGAAUUUGUCCUUACGCAAAAUUUGGAGGACUGGCUACAAAACCAAAACAAGGAGAUCUUAUCCCUAAGUGAAAGGGACUUUAUAUUAAUUGUCAGUUAUAACAAUAUGUAAAAUACAUAAAAGAGAUAGAGCACUGCAGGCCAUCAGGGUCAAACAUUUAAAACAGAAUUAAACUAAAUUAUAAGGAGGAUUAAAUGGCUUUUGUCUUUGCAAAGAAAAGAAUGUGCGUGCAUUGGUUGCCUAUGUAGAAGGAUUAAUAAAUCUUUUGGCAUGGUCGAUUUGUAAUAAAUUACUGAAAAUGUGGGAUUACGAUGAAACUCUUAAAGUGUGCCACAUAAGUCAAGGAAGCCACCUAAGUCAUGGGAUGGGUAUGAGUGAGACACUCUGGAAUAAUCUCGAUGCUACUCUGGGGCUGCCCUUGCAGGGUGGGACAUCAGCUUCGCUAAGGGGCUCACCAGAGACUCCUUCAAGGGAGCAUUUCUUGGUUUCCAUGUUGUAUUUAUGUCAUUUUGAUGAGCUGGAGUAAAAUCCAAAUCCUUUUGAAUGAUUCAGUUUUGUCUUUUUAAAGAGACACCAUCAUACUUGGUGAACACGGGUGGUCAAAAAAAGUACUUGAAUAUUGAGUGAUGAGGUAAAAAAAAAAAAAAAAAA
This is a long non-coding RNA of Nomascus leucogenys (northern white-cheeked gibbon), 4701 nucleotides long. RefSeq lists it as uncharacterized. Lineage: Eukaryota; Metazoa; Chordata; Mammalia; Primates; Hylobatidae. The record is from RefSeq and is a predicted model, not a curated record. The transcript is spliced from 2 exons.